AACCUCCGCAAUGUACGAAAGUGCGACGGGGGGAUCCCAAGUGUUAUGCUUAAAGGUAUGACUUUUCAUUAGUGUAAAAAGCUUUUAGAAUAAGAGCUGGGCAAGACCGGUGCCAGCCGCCGCGGUAACACCGGCAGCUCGAGUGGUAGCUGUUUUUAUUGGGCCUAAAGCGUUCGUAGCCGGUUUAAUAAGUCUUUGGUGAAAGCUUGUAGCUUAACUAUAAGAAUUGCUGGAGAUACUAUUGGACUUGAAGUCGGGAGAGGUUAGAGGUACUACCGGGGUAGGGGUGAAAUCCUAUAAUCCUGGGAGGACCACCUGUGGCGAAGGCGUCUAACUGGAACGAUCUUGACGGUGAGUAACGAAAGCCAGGGGCGCGAACCGGAUUAGAUACCCGGGUAGUCCUGGCCGUAAACGAUGUGGACUUGGUGUUGGAAUGGCUUUGAGUUGUUCCGGUGCCGAAGGGAAGCUGUUAAGUCCACCGCCUGGGAAGUACGGUCGCAAGAUUGAAACUUAAAGGAAUU
This 521-nucleotide ribosomal RNA is filed under the name uncultured bacterium. RNAcentral's name for it is "bacterial SSU rRNA". It matches the Rfam family "Archaeal small subunit ribosomal RNA", at positions 345 to 866 of the family's 1478-position model. The record is from RNAcentral.